Molecule: ribosomal RNA, 269 nt
Filed under: Rhizosmilia sagamiensis
Lineage: Eukaryota; Metazoa; Cnidaria; Anthozoa; Scleractinia; Caryophylliidae
Description: partial 16S ribosomal RNA
Rfam family: Bacterial large subunit ribosomal RNA
Source: RNAcentral
CCGAAAAUUUUUCUGUCUUAAAAAAAUACUUAAUGAAAUUGAAUUUGUAGUGAAGAUGCUACAUUAAAAUUGUAAGACGAGAAGUCCCCAUGGAGCUUUACUGAAGGCUUAAAGUUUUUUAAUAAGCGAGACAGUUUGGUUGGGGCGAUAGUUUUUUAAAAAGUAACGAAAACGAACUAUGGUGAAGCUUCACUCUGAAAAAUUUUUUAAGGGACAUUUUUGGUGUGUUUUAUGAUCCGUUAUUUGGAAUGAAAAAAAUAACGAAAACA